This 483-nucleotide long non-coding RNA is filed under the name Mustela putorius furo (domestic ferret). Its description in RNAcentral is "lncRNA (ENSMPUG00000026550.1)". Lineage: Eukaryota; Metazoa; Chordata; Mammalia; Carnivora; Mustelidae. The record is from RNAcentral.
CUGUAGUGCAGCAUUUGAAGAAAAUAUGUUUGUGUCCUUUGGACCCACUAUAUACCAGGCAAAGCCACUAAAAGAGAAUACAAAAUCUCCAUAAAACCCCUCACUUGGAAACUUAGAACUUCUUGUUUUUAGAGUGAUGAAUAGAGCCCCAUAAAUUACUGAUUUUUAUCAUUAAUCAUGAUGUUUAUUACAGCUUUUAUUGGGGAGGUAGAAGUUAGAUCAAUGUCUGCUGUUUCUCUCAGAACAUCCACUCAACAGUGCCUGUUCAGCUGGGAUUCUAACUCACCACUUUUGCUGAGUGAUAUUGUUCACCAUGCACAGACUGGUCAAAUAACCUUCUCACAGCUUUUAAAGGACUAAUUAGGGAAGUAGGCUUGACGAAUAAACUCACCAUUUAUGAAGAAGGAACCACUGACCUGAUAGAAACUGAACUCUCAAUAGCAGGUAAGCAUUCCUUCCUUAAAAUAAUAAAUUUCAAAUUAU